UCUCUCUUGGCUCAGUUGGCAGAGCACGUCACUAGUAAUGACGAAUCAGUCGUACAAGUCGACUGGCGGGAA
RNAcentral lists this transfer RNA (72 nucleotides) under Armillaria ostoyae. It matches the Rfam family "tRNA". Rfam says of the family: Transfer RNA (tRNA) molecules are approximately 80 nucleotides in length. Their secondary structure includes four short double-helical elements and three loops (D, anti-codon, and T loops). Lineage: Eukaryota; Fungi; Basidiomycota; Agaricomycetes; Agaricales; Physalacriaceae. The record is from RNAcentral.